This is a long non-coding RNA of Camelus dromedarius (Arabian camel), 621 nucleotides long. RefSeq lists it as uncharacterized. The transcript is spliced from 2 exons. The record is from RefSeq and is a predicted model, not a curated record. NCBI's taxonomy places the organism in Eukaryota, Metazoa, Chordata, Mammalia, Artiodactyla, Camelidae.
GCAUUUCUGCCCAUUUUCAACUCAUUUGGGUUGUAUAUUAUUUCACACAGAUCUUUGAACUUAGGACACUGAAGGCCUGUAUGUCUUCAGGGUUCGUAGCUCCUGUAGUGCUAAUCUGCCCCAGGGUGGUUAAUGUUUAACCCCUAAACCACUGGCUGAAUGUCCAUAAAUCUGAAAGAAUAACAAGCACAUGCCAAUAAAUAGCUCGGGUUUAUUUAGUGACAGGUGCUUCGGAGGCCAUCACCUCUGCUACCCUUUUAGCAUGCUCCUCAGUCACCUUCUCCUCCUUUCCAUAAAGAGAAAAGGGACCACAAAGCAGGAGAAUUCAACCUGAGGGCAGUUCUUGAGGGGCCAGUUCAUGAAUGACUUUCUGAAGGGCCUCUUGUGCCCUGCACAGAAUUUCUGAUCCAAAUCUCUGAUUCCUAGGCCUGUAAUUGACUCACCAGCCAUAGUGGAAAGUUUGAAGCUGCCAGGAGAGAGGAGGGGUUGCAUCAUGUGGCAACAAAAGAAUGAAUCCCGCCCGGGGGAAGCAGAGCCAAGCAAUGGAUCCCUGUUGUUUGAGUCCUGGAUCAAAUUGUGCCUGGAUCCCCAGUAAGCCAAUAAAUUUUCUUUAUUGCUUAA